This 420-nucleotide ribosomal RNA is filed under the name Stutzerimonas stutzeri. Its description in RNAcentral is "bacterial SSU rRNA". It matches the Rfam family "Bacterial small subunit ribosomal RNA", at positions 55 to 471 of the family's 1533-position model. The record is from RNAcentral. Lineage: Bacteria; Pseudomonadati; Pseudomonadota; Gammaproteobacteria; Pseudomonadales; Pseudomonadaceae.
AUGCAAGUCGAGCGGAUGACGGGAGCUUGCUCCUUGAUUCAGCGGCGGACGGGUGAGUAAUGCCUAGGAAUCUGCCUGGUAGUGGGGGACAACGUUUCGAAAGGAACGCUAAUACCGCAUACGUCCUACGGGAGAAAGUGGGGGAUCUUCGGACCUCACGCUAUCAGAUGAGCCUAGGUCGGAUUAGCUAGUUGGUGAGGUAAUGGCUCACCAAGGCGACGAUCCGUAACUGGUCUGAGAGGAUGAUCAGUCACACUGGAACUGAGACACGGUCCAGACUCCUACGGGAGGCAGCAGUGGGGAAUAUUGGACAAUGGGCGAAAGCCUGAUCCAGCCAUGCCGCGUGUGUGAAGAAGGUCUUCGGAUUGUAAAGCACUUUAAGUUGGGAGGAAGGGCAGUAAGUUAAUACCUUGCUGUUUU